Molecule: ribosomal RNA, 497 nt
Filed under: uncultured bacterium
Lineage: Bacteria
Description: partial 16S ribosomal RNA
Rfam family: Bacterial small subunit ribosomal RNA
Source: RNAcentral
GAUGAACGCUGGCGGCGUGCCUAAUACAUGCAAGUCGAGCGAACGGACGAGAAGCUUGCUUCUCUGAUGUUAGCGGCGGACGGGUGAGUAACACGUGGAUAACCUACCUAUAAGACUGGGAUAACUUCGGGAAACCGGAGCUAAUACCGGAUAAUAUUUUGAACCGCAUGGUUCAAAAGUAAAAGACGGUCUUGCUGUCACUUAUAGAUGGAUCCGCGCUGCAUUAGCUAGUUGGUAAGGUAACGGCUUACCAAGGCAACGAUGCAUAGCCGACCUGAGAGGGUGAUCGGCCACACUGGAACUGAGACACGGUCCAGACUCCUAAGGGAGGCAGCAGUAGGGAAUCUUCCGCAAUGGGCGAAAGCCUGACGGAGCAACGCCGCGUGAGUGAUGAAGGUCUUCGGAUCGUAAAACUCUGUUAUUAGGGAAGAACAUAUGUGUAAGUAACUGUGCACAUCUUGACGGUACCUAAUCAGAAAGCCACGGCUAACUACGUG